CCUUGGGUGGUACAAACAGGUAAUGCAUUCGGCUGCUAACCAAAAGGUUGGAGGUUCGAGUCCACCCACAGGUG
RNAcentral lists this transfer RNA (74 nucleotides) under Loxodonta africana (African savanna elephant). It matches the Rfam family "tRNA". From Rfam's summary of the family: Transfer RNA (tRNA) molecules are approximately 80 nucleotides in length. Their secondary structure includes four short double-helical elements and three loops (D, anti-codon, and T loops). Lineage: Eukaryota; Metazoa; Chordata; Mammalia; Proboscidea; Elephantidae. The record is from Rfam by way of RNAcentral.